This 497-nucleotide ribosomal RNA is filed under the name uncultured bacterium. Its description in RNAcentral is "partial 16S ribosomal RNA". It matches the Rfam family "Bacterial small subunit ribosomal RNA", at positions 28 to 507 of the family's 1533-position model. The record is from RNAcentral.
GAUGAACGCUGGCGGCGUGCCUAAUACAUGCCAGUCGAGCGAACGGACGAGAAGCUUGCUUCUCUGAUGUUAGCGGCGGACGGGUGAGUAACACGUGGAUAACCUACCUAUAAGACUGGGAUAACUUCGGGAAACCGGAGCUAAUACCGGAUAAUAUUUUGAACCGCAUGGUUCAAAAGUGAAAGACGGUCUUGCUGUCACUUAUAGAUGGAUCCGCGCUGCAUUAGCUAGUUGGUAAGGUAACGGCUUACCAAGGCAACGAUGCAUAGCCGACCUGAGAGGGUGAUCGGCCACACGGGAACUGAGACACGGUCCAGACGCCUACGGGAGGCAGCAGUAGGGAAUAUUCCGCAAUGGGCGAAAGCCUGACGGAGCAACGCCGCGUGUGUGAUGAAGGUCUUCGGAUCGUAAAGCUCUGUUAUUAGGGAAGAACAUAUGUGUAAUUAACUGUGCACAUCUUGACGGUACCUAAUCAGAAAGCAACGGCUAACUACGUG